AUACAACUGACAUGGGAGAUACACAACUAAGCAAAUUACUUCCCAUGGCAAGCCUCUCCAUUGCACUUGGGAUUUGCUGUGUGCCUGUAUUUUCCCCAAGUGGGGGAAACUCCACUGCAUAAUUUGUGACAGGUGAUGGACUGUGUAUGAGCUUAUCCCUGAA
Molecule: small nuclear RNA, 163 nt
Organism: Cricetulus griseus (Chinese hamster)
Lineage: Eukaryota; Metazoa; Chordata; Mammalia; Rodentia; Cricetidae
Gene: U1
Rfam family: U1 spliceosomal RNA
About the family: U1 is a small nuclear RNA (snRNA) component of the spliceosome (involved in pre-mRNA splicing). Its 5' end forms complementary base pairs with the 5' splice junction, thus defining the 5' donor site of an intron. There are significant differences in sequence and secondary structure between metazoan and yeast U1 snRNAs, the latter being much longer (568 nucleotides as compared to 164 nucleotides in human).
Source: Ensembl